GGGUGUAUAGCUUAGUGGUAGAGCAUUCGACUGCAGAUCGGGAGAUCCCCGGUUCAAACCCGGGUGUCCCCU
RNAcentral lists this transfer RNA (72 nucleotides) under Trichonephila inaurata madagascariensis. It matches the Rfam family "tRNA". Rfam says of the family: Transfer RNA (tRNA) molecules are approximately 80 nucleotides in length. Their secondary structure includes four short double-helical elements and three loops (D, anti-codon, and T loops). Further hydrogen bonds mediate the characteristic L-shaped molecular structure. tRNAs have two regions of fundamental functional importance: the anti-codon, which is responsible for specific mRNA codon recognition, and the 3' end, to which the tRNAs corresponding amino acid is attached (by aminoacyl-tRNA synthetases). tRNAs cope with the degeneracy of the genetic code in two manners: having more than one tRNA (with a specific anti-codon) for a particular amino acid; and 'wobble' base-pairing, i.e. permitting non-standard base-pairing at the 3rd anti-codon position. The record is from Rfam by way of RNAcentral. Lineage: Eukaryota; Metazoa; Arthropoda; Arachnida; Araneae; Nephilidae.